UCGACGGUAACGCAAUUUCGGCGUUACAUGAGUGGAGAACGGGUGAGUAACACGCGGGUAAUCUGCCCUGCCCUUCGGGAUAAGCCUGGGCAACCGGGUCUGGUACCGGAUAUGAGCUCCUGCCGCAUGGUGGGAUUGGAAAGUUUUUCGGUGCAGGACGAGUCCGCGGCCUAUCUGCUUGUUGGUGGCGUACUGGCCUACCAAGGCGACGACGGGUAGCCGGCCUGAGAGGGUGAUCGUCCACAAGGGACUGAGACUCGGCCCAGACUCCUACGGGAGGCAUUAGUGGGGAAUAUUGCACAAUGGGCGAAAGCCUGAUGCAGCGACAAUGCGUGGGGGAUGACGGACUUCGGAUUGAGACUCCUUUCAGUAGGGACGAAGCGAAAGUUCAGUUCCUGCAGAACAAGAACCGGACAACUACGUGCCAAAAGCCACGGUAAUACGAACGGCGCGAGCGUUGUCCGGAAUUACUGGGCGCCACCAGCUCCUAGCGGUUCGUCACAUAGUCCGAAAACCCUCCAGCUCAUCUGUCGGCGUGCAGGCGAGACGCCCACACUUGAACACUACAUGGAAAAACUGUAAAUCCUGGUGUAGGGUGAAAUGCGCAGUAAUAAUGUCAACUCCGGAUGCCUAUGC
Molecule: ribosomal RNA, 636 nt
Filed under: Dietzia sp.
Lineage: Bacteria; Bacillati; Actinomycetota; Actinomycetes; Mycobacteriales; Dietziaceae
Description: bacterial SSU rRNA
Rfam family: Bacterial small subunit ribosomal RNA
Source: RNAcentral